CCCUCCCUCUGGCUUCAUGCCUAACACAUGCAAGUCGAACGAGAUCCUUCGGGGUCUAGUGGCGCACGGGUGCGUAACGCGUGGGAAUCUGCCCUUAGGUUCGGAAUAACAGUUAGAGAUGACUGCUAAUACCGGAUGAUGACGUUAAGUCCAAAGAUUUAUCGCCUGAGGAUGAGCCCGCGUAGGAUUAGCUAGUUGGUGUGGUAAAGGCGCACCAAGGCGACGAUCCUUAGCUGGUCUGAGAGGAUGAUCAGCCACACUGGGACUGAGACACGGCCCAGACUCCUACGGGAGGCAGCAGUGGGGAAUAUUGGACAAUGGGCGCAAGCCUGAUCCAGCAAUGCCGCGUGAGUGAUGAAGGCCUUAGGGUUGUAAAGCUCUUUUACCCGGGAUGAUAAUGACAGUACCGGGAGAAUAAGCCCCGGCUAACUCCGUG
RNAcentral lists this ribosomal RNA (436 nucleotides) under uncultured bacterium. RNAcentral describes it as "partial 16S ribosomal RNA". It matches the Rfam family "Bacterial small subunit ribosomal RNA", at positions 36 to 507 of the family's 1533-position model. The record is from RNAcentral.